This 268-nucleotide ribosomal RNA is filed under the name uncultured bacterium. Its description in RNAcentral is "partial 16S ribosomal RNA". It matches the Rfam family "Bacterial small subunit ribosomal RNA", at positions 524 to 778 of the family's 1533-position model. The record is from RNAcentral.
UACGUAGGGUGCGAGCGUUGUCCGGAAUUAUUGGGCGUAAAGGGGCUCGUAGGCGGUUUGUCGCGUCGGGAGAUGAAACGUCCACUGGACUUUAACUGGUCGGCUUGCUUUCGAUACGGGCAGACUGGAAGGUAUGCAGGGGAGAACGGAAUUCCGUGGUGUAGCGGUGAAAAUGCGCAGAUAUCAGGAGGAACACCGGUGGCGAAGGCGGGUUGCUGGGCCGACACUGACGCUGAUGCGCGAAAGCCGUAGGGGGAGCGAAACGGGG